This is a non-coding RNA of Schistosoma haematobium, 46 nucleotides long. NCBI's taxonomy places the organism in Eukaryota, Metazoa, Platyhelminthes, Trematoda, Strigeidida, Schistosomatidae. The record is from Rfam.
GCACUGCUAAUGAGUCCCACAAUAGGACGAAACGACCGUCCAGUGC